CUGCUCACUUUGACAGCACAUAUACAAAUAUUGGAACAAUACAAGGGAAGAUUAGCAUGGCCACUGUGCAAUGAUCACAUGUAAAUUCAUGAAGCGUUCCAUGUUUUC
Molecule: small nuclear RNA, 108 nt
Filed under: Carlito syrichta (Philippine tarsier)
Lineage: Eukaryota; Metazoa; Chordata; Mammalia; Primates; Tarsiidae
Source: RNAcentral